RNAcentral lists this ribosomal RNA (414 nucleotides) under uncultured Gammaproteobacteria bacterium. Its description in RNAcentral is "bacterial SSU rRNA". It matches the Rfam family "Bacterial small subunit ribosomal RNA", at positions 952 to 1363 of the family's 1533-position model. The record is from RNAcentral. Lineage: Bacteria; Pseudomonadati; Pseudomonadota; Gammaproteobacteria.
CGUUGGACGCGAAGAACCUUACCUACUCUUGACAUCCACAGAAUUUUCCAGAGAUAGAUUAGUGCCUUCGGGAACUCUGAGACAGGUGCUGCAUGGCUGUCGUCAGCUCGUGUUGUGAAAUGUUGGGUUAAGUCCCGCAACGAGCGCAACCCUUAUCCUUAUUUGCCAACAAGUAAUGGUGGGAACUCCAGGGAGACUGCCGGUGAUAAACCGGAGGAAGGUGGGGACGACGUCAAGUCAUCAUGGCCCUUACGAGUAGGGCUACACACGUGCUACAAUGGCGCAUACAGAGGGCGGCAAACCCGCGAGGGGGAGCGAAUCCCACAAAGCCCGUCGUAGUCCGGAUUGGAGUCUGCAACUCGACUCCAUGAAGUCGGAAUCGCUAGUAAUCGUGAUCAGAUAGAAAAGGUUUCC